This is a non-coding RNA of Coturnix japonica (Japanese quail), 5214 nucleotides long. NCBI's taxonomy places the organism in Eukaryota, Metazoa, Chordata, Aves, Galliformes, Phasianidae. The record is from RefSeq and is a predicted model, not a curated record.
UUUCCACCUAAACUAAAGGGUGUUCAGCGCCUAAUCACCAAAGAGAAUCUGAACCUUUCUAUGUUCUGCUUAUAUAGGUUGUUGAACUUUCCAGCUCACCUGUUGAACAAAUAUUAAUUAGCAUGCAAUAAUUCUAUUUAAUAUACCUCUACUUGAAUGCUUGUUUUUUUGUCAGAAUCAUUCAAAGAGCAAGUGAGAAAUUCUCACUGAUGGUUGUGAGAAGAGAGAUAACUGCUCAGAAAAGGGUCACAAUGCAUGACCUAGUAUCCAGUCUGUCCCAGGGGGUAAAGAUGCUUAGACUUAACAUUAACAUUAACAUGCCUCAUGUUUAAUUUAAAACUUCACUUGAUCGCUUUAAACAGAUGACUCAUCGCCUAGACAGAAUUUCAGUGCUCCACAGUAGCAGUCAUAUAACCUACUUAGAUGGCAUUUAUGGUAAUAAUGAGAUCAGAAAUAAGAGGAAUAUUUUAUAUUCCUAUAUAAAUAAGAAGAAAAUAAAAGGAAGCUGGAAGAGAUGUCAGGAAAUUCCCCGGGAGUUUAAAAUUUUGGCAUUUUUUAAUAAAAAUAUCAGAAAGAAAGCUCAUAUUAUCCCACAGAUGGGUCUGGUCAGUUGAUAUGAGGCAAUCCUGUAAUGAUAGUCAUGUACUAGCUAGAUACUGAAUGAUGUUAAUGUCUAGAUAAUACAAAACAAUUAGGAGAUAUACAUUUGUCCCCGGUGAUUCCUCUACUCUGACUAAUUGUUAUUGUUGCUGUGUUUGCUACAUAAACUUUUUUUUCGGGAUGUGUGUGGGGGGGGUGGCGGUUGAUAAAGACCUGAAAGCUGUACUUUGCAGACUUCCAGACUUUCACUGGUGACAUCAUAACUAAGCCUGCUUCAGCAAUUUGAUUUCUUAAUUUGCAUCCUUGGCUCUAGGGAAGAGAGUGUUCUGGGCCUCAGAAGAUCUAGUGAGGAAUUCUUCGGAAACACUUUUUGCUCUAUAGUUACUUUGUCUCUGGACCUGUUUUGAAGCUUUGAAAUGGGUGAAUGUUUAACUUAAGAUGUAAUCCUCCCAAUAGUAAGAUGUUUCUACAGAAAACUUUUUCUUUGUUGUAGGCUAAGAUGUUAUCUUUAGGCAUAUUUGUGAAAUCCAUAAGGGUAAUUUUCAGGGGAUCCCUUCUGCUAGCACUUUAGGACAGUAUCAAAAGUUAUAGAUCAGAGGAUUUCCACAAUUGAUCUUCAUAUUUAUACUUCACCCACUGCUCUGAUGGAGACAAAGAACUGCCAUAUCCUAAUACAGCCCUGCAGCAUGAGAGAAUUUGUUUUUUCAUGGAAAACUGCAGCCUAAUAGCAGUUGUGAGGGUAGGCUAUUGACCAUUACAGACAUUCUUACAAGACACUGCCUGUGUGGGCAAAUGGAAAAUUCAGAUUUACUGGAAUAUACAAAUCAGGAAAUGGCCUGAUAGAGAUAAAAAUCAACAAUGUUUUUAAAUCUUCUGCUCUGAUAUUCUGGAAAGUGUUAUGCUGUAAAAAUGCUCCAUCUUACACUGCUUUUGCAUGGAAGAUGUUUCUUUAUUGAACACCUGUGUUUCUGGUAAGAGAUAAAUAAUUGAAGAGGCCCUGGAAAAACACAAUGGUCUUUCUUUGUUUUGCCAUGACUGAAGUACAUGAAGUAGCUGAAAUACCACCUUGUAACACAAUUAAAUGUGUAAUUCUUCAAAAACGCUUGAAUGUUAAUCACAUGAAUGCUUCUGAUUACAGCAGGAGACUUGUAUGGACACAAAAGCCUAAAAUAUAGUAGUAUUCAAAUUAAACUUGUUGAUGAGAUGGAGACACAGGAAUGAAGACUUCCAGGGUAUGAAGGGUGUGAAGAUUCCUGAUAGUGACUUGAAUCUCCUAACAGUUCGUUUGGCUUCUCCAUUACAUCCACAGCAAUGGAAACAGAUCCCUGUAAAAUGUGGUAAAAUGCAGCUUUAGAAGAAAUAUCUCCUUCGAUUUUAACAGACAUUUUAACAGAUUUUAACAGUCAAAGCAGGUGGGGGAAGCUGAUACUGUUAGCUAGGACCUAUAAAACGUUCCUGUUAAAGGAAACAAAACCCAACUCUGAAGCCUCACUUGUAAGCCUGAAGACAAAUUGAAUUGUUCUGGCUUGCUUCCACACUGCAAGAGAGAACACAAGAAGUGCGGAGAAACACGUUUUCUGUAGUUCAGGACUGGUGAAAUUCAUACUACGUUGCUUGCAGUUCACACCAUUUCACUGUUGUGACAGAACACAGAAGAGGUUGUGCUUCAACAGCGAAGAUAAUAUGUUGGCCAGGACACCAUUCAUAUAGUGCUGAGAAUACAAAAAAAAUCCUGUGUUCAGGUGAGAGUAGAAUUUUGCAUUCCUGGCUAUUUGCAUUCCUUGCUAUUAGUAUGAUGUAGUUAAUUCUAAAUUAGUCUUGGAAUGGCAUGCCUCUUAAUGGGGUAAUGUUUGAGGUGGUUCUGUCCAGUGAGGUGCUUCUAGUCACUGAAUAAUCACUUGCUACCUUCCCUUCAGAUAGAAAACACAUUGAACAAUAAGAAAAAUAUCUCUUUUUCUCAAAUUGAUAUCUCAAUCUGAUAUCAGGUUGGGUAUUUCUUGGCCAAAAGCAGGUAGUGACAAGAGGAUGUGGAAAAGGAAGGAAUUAGAAGCUUGGAUUCUGCAGCAAGGUCUGCAUCAGCCCACUGAAGUUCAUCUUGGGUAUGCAGGUGGUUAAACUAACAGGUAUGAAGUCAUGGUUCCUAAGAACUGGGAACAUUAAUAUCUAUAAUCUACAACAAAAUAGUAAUUCAUAAUUAUUAUUAAUGUCACAAAUGACAAUUUGUCAUUUGCCUUACCAGGUAAAAGCAGGGACACAGCUGUUCCUAAGAUGCUAUGGAUGUGCUGAUUAGAAAUUACACUGACUAAAGCAGAGUUCUGAUACUUUCUGAUACUCUCUUAACUGAUAUCUACUGUAGAAAACAAGAACAGCACCCCACAAACAUUCCGACCUGUCUUUACUGGAUCGUCAAGAUAUAGUGGACAAGUUUGAGACAAACCUGCCAAUAUUUAUAGUUAACAGUAAAUAUUACAAUUAUAAAAUUUCAAGUAUAAACACACAAUUUCUUGAUAGAGAUUAGAAUGGUCUUUGAGGUCACCAAAGGGGCUUUUCUAAAUCUCUUAAAAUAUGUCCAUAGCAGUAAGAUCAUUAACUCAGUGGUCCAAACCAGUUAUGGUUGCUUGUCCUAGAGUGUGCUGAAAUUUCAGUAUUUCAAGAUCUCUGCUAAAUUUGCUUUGAUAUGGUUCUGCUUGCUAGGACCUGAGAAGGACACAUCCCUUUUGCUGAUGCUUGUGCUCACCUGUGGCUGGGGCUUGCAUACACAUUUCUACCCAGCUGAUUGAAUUCCCCAAACUUACUGUUUCUGGAAAAAUUCAAGUGCCAGUGCCAGCACAAGAGAUAGGUGGAUGUAUAUAUCCAUGGGGAGAAUCAGACAGAGAGAUGAGAUGACUGUAGCAGCUGUAGUAGGUUUCUUUUCUCUGACAGGUUGUGAAGCAGCUUCUUCUGUUCCCUAUCAAGAGACUCAUUUAUCCCUUCACUCGUGAAAAAGCAGCCUUUGAAUCAAUCAUUCCCACAGUUUCUUUUCACUAAAAAGAAAAUAUUUUAUUUUCCGUGGUCCUUCACUGCUUGCAAUGCAGACCUCAAAUAUCUGAAAUACAGUAUUCUAUUUAGUCUUGUCAGAUCAAAUAAGGAGUUAUUUAAAGAAAUAAAACACUUGAGAAUAGUUUACUGUCAGAAAACAACCUAUUGUUCCCUUUUUUUCUGGCACACAGUGCCUGUGGGCAUAGAGUAAAGGGCUCCUCAAACUUCUUUUUUUUUCUUUUUAUUUACAGAGCAGCAGUGGGUAUUUAAUUGCUCUGUUUUCUUGGGUGUUUUUUUUUGGUUUUUUUUUCCCCCUCAUAAAUUUUUCUGAGUUUAUUUACCCUUGGUAUCCUAUGUUGUUUAGUUGUUACAGAGUCAAGGAGUCUGACAAAGGCCUGCUUUAUGUUCCGUGCUUUUGUGGGCCAGAGCUGUGCAAGUCUCCACACAACCCAGCAACCUUCCUCAGCCCAAGGUGGACUGGAAUAAGUAAAUGUAGAAUACAAGCAGAGGACUCCUUAGCUUCAAGCAAAUGAGGAGUCAGUUCUACAACAGCUACUUCACUAUCACACAUGCUUUUACCACAGUGACUAUCCUUAAAAAGCUCCUUGGACAAUGCCUCUUCUUUUGGGGGUAUUUUAUUAUUUCCUUUGUAGUACUUGAACAUGUCACUUUUUUUUUUUUUUUUAACAUACGUUAGAAUAAUGUAAUUUUGUUGCUACAAAUCAUACUUUUUUACAGUCUUAAUAUAAAAUUACAAAUGCCUGUUGUCAAGAGUUAAAAACAUAGAAUAUGAUUUCUGUUAAACCUUCUACCAGUCUCUUUGAUUUUAAAAUUUCCAUCUGUAUGUGUAUGUGCAUUGCAGUAGCAUAUUUUUUACCUCAGACAUUUAUCUAUAAAUCUGUAAUGCGGUUAUUGAAACUGUGCUAAAGGUUAAACUUAUUAAAAAUUCCUUUUCAAAUAAAAAUGAUGAAUAUUACUCUUAAUGGGAUAGUUCAUUUAAACAAAUUAAAUGCCAUUUAAACAGUUUUUUAGAAAAAUCAUUAUAUUCUACUAAGUUCAUUUUUUUAAAGUUAUCAUUUAAUCUGUAUUAGAUGCCUAGACAGAACAAAGGUAUUUCAUCUUUUUUCCAUUUUAGCAUCUGCUGUGAUACAAUACUUUGUUUCCAGCUGUAAUUACCUUCUGUAAUUGCCACUGCCUCCUCUUGUAAUACUUGCUUGACAAUCUGAAAGAUAAUAUGUAUUUAUUAGUUGUACUGUCUUAAAUAUUUUCUGUUGUCAGUCAAAUAAAGUUGAGCUGCAUAAACCUGUCCUGAUAAUUGAAAAAGCUGUUGUUAGUUCACUGCAAGUACAAAAGUGGCUGGUCUGGAGCUUUUCACCUGUAAGGCUGGCAAGACUUUCAAGCAUGUCUUGUACCCAGAGACUAUGAAACAUGACUAGCUGUGUGUCUGCAUGGGCACAUUAAGAAAAAUUAUACAUCUGACAGGACAGAAAAACUCAGAAAGGGCUGUUAGGACUGAUGUCAGCAUUCACCUUCAAACUGAGGCAUCUUCCAAACACAGUUGUCCCUUUGUCAUGUGAGUGGUAGUACUCAUGGGGC